Molecule: ribosomal RNA, 468 nt
Filed under: uncultured bacterium
Lineage: Bacteria
Description: partial 16S ribosomal RNA
Rfam family: Bacterial small subunit ribosomal RNA
Source: RNAcentral
GACGAACGCUGGCGGCGUGCUUAACACAUGCAAGUCGAACGGAAAGACCCUGCUUUUGUGGGGUGCUCGAGUGGCGAACGGGUGAGUAACACGUGAGUAACCUGCCCUUGACUUUGGGAUAACUUCAGGAAACUGGGGCUAAUACCGGAUAGGAGCUCCUGCUGCAUGGUGGGGGUUGGAAAGUUUCGGCGGUUGGGGAUGGACUCGCGGCUUAUCAGCUUGUUGGUGGGGUAGUGGCUUACCAAGGCUUUGACGGGUAGCCGGCCUGGGAGGGGGACCGGCCACAUUGGGACUGAGAUACGGCCCAGACUCCUACGGGAGGCAGCAGUGGGGAAUAUUGCACAAUGGGCGGAAGCCUGAUGCAGCAACGCCGCGUGCGGGAUGACGGCCUUCGGGUUGUAAACCGCUUUCGCCUGUGACGAAGCGUGAGUGACGGUAAUGGGUAAAGAAGCACCGGCUAACUACGUG